UACAGAGGGUGCGAGCGUUGUCCGGAAUCACUGGGCGUAAAGGGCGCGUAGGCGGGCGGUCAAGUCUGUGGUGAAAUCCUUCGGCUCAACCGGAGAAUAGCUGGAGAUACUGGCCGUCUCGAGGGGGGUAGGGGCAUGUGGAACUUCCGGUGGAGCGGUGAAAUGCGUAGAUAUCGGAAGGAACGCCGGUGGCGAAAGCGACGUGCUGGACCCUUUCUGACGCUGAGGCGCGAAAGCCAGGGGAGCAAACGGG
RNAcentral lists this ribosomal RNA (253 nucleotides) under uncultured bacterium. RNAcentral describes it as "partial 16S ribosomal RNA". It matches the Rfam family "Bacterial small subunit ribosomal RNA", at positions 524 to 776 of the family's 1533-position model. The record is from RNAcentral.